Molecule: ribosomal RNA, 1549 nt
Filed under: Treponema pallidum subsp. pallidum (syphilis treponeme)
Lineage: Bacteria; Pseudomonadati; Spirochaetota; Spirochaetia; Treponematales; Treponemataceae
Description: bacterial SSU rRNA
Rfam family: Bacterial small subunit ribosomal RNA
Source: RNAcentral
AUGAUGGAGAGUUUGAUCCUGGCUCAGAACGAACGCUGGCGGUGCGUUUUAAGCAUGCAAGUCGAACGGCAAGGAAGCGAAUUUUCGUUUCUCUAGAGUGGCGGACUGGUGAGUAACGCGUGGGUAAUCUGCCUUUGAGAUGGGGAUAGCCUCUAGAAAUAGGGGGUAAUACCGAAUACGCUCUUUUGGACGUAGGUCUUUGAGAGGAAAGGGGCUGCGGCCUCGCUCAGAGAUGAGCCUGCGACCCAUUAGCUUGUUGGUGGGGUAAUGGCCUACCAAGGCGUCGAUGGGUAUCCGACCUGAGAGGGUGACCGGACACACUGGGACUGAGAUACGGCCCAGACUCCUACGGGAGGCAGCAGCUAAGAAUAUUCCGCAAUGGGCGAAAGCCUGACGGAGCGACACCGCGUGGAUGAGGAAGGUCGAAAGAUUGUAAAGUUCUUUUGCCGACGAAGAAUGAGGACGGGAGGGAAUGCCCGUUUGAUGACGGUAGUCGUGCGAAUAAGCCCCGGCUAAUUACGUGCCAGCAGCCGCGGUAACACGUAAGGGGCGAGCGUUGUUCGGAAUUAUUGGGCGUAAAGGGCAUGCAGGCGGACUGGUAAGCCUGGUGUGAAAUCCCCGAGCUCAACUUGGGAACUGCACUGGGUACUGCUGGUCUAGAAUCACGGAGGGGAAACCGGAAUUCCAAGUGUAGGGGUGGAAUCUGUAGAUAUUUGGAAGAACACCGGUGGCGAAGGCGGGUUUCUGGCCGAUGAUUGACGCUGAGGUGCGAAGGUGUGGGGAGCGAACAGGAUUAGAUACCCUGGUAGUCCACGCAGUAAACGAUGUACACUAGGUGUUGGGGCAUGAGUCUCGGCGCCGACGCGAACGCAUUAAGUGUACCGCCUGGGGAGUACGCUCGCAAGANUGAAACUCAAAGGAAUUGACGGGGGCCCGCACAAGCGGUGGAGCAUGUGGUUUAAUUCGAUGAUACGCGAGGAACCUUACCCGGGUUUGACAUCAAGAGGAGCGCCGUAGAAAUGCGGUGGCGUAGCGAUACGCCUCUUNACAGGUGCUGCAUGGCUGUCGUCAGCUCGUGUCGUGAGAUGUUGGGUUAAGUCCCGCAACGAGCGCAACCCUUACUGCCAGUUGCCAGCAAGUGGUGUUGGGGACUCUGGCGGAACUGCCGGUGACAAACCGGAGGAAGGUGGGGAUGACGUCAAGUCCUCAUGGCCCUUAUGGNCAGGGCUACACACGUGCUACAAUGGUUGCUACAGAGCGAUGCGAGGUUGUGAAGUGGAGCAAACCGCAAAAAGGCAAUCGUAGUCCGGAUUGAAGUCUGAAACUCGACUUCAUGAAGUUGGAAUCGCUAGUAAUCGCACAUCAGCAUGGUGCGGUGAAUGUGUUCCCGGGCCUUGUACACACCGCCCGUCACACCAUCCGAGUUGGAGAUACCCGAAGUCACUAGCCUAACCCGCAAGGGAGGGCGGUGCCGAAGGUAUGUUUGGUAACUGGGGUGAAGUCGUAACAAGGUAGCCGUACCGGAAGGUGCGGCUGGAUCACCUCCUUU